UACCCCUGAAGCCAGCUUGGUGCUA
Molecule: non-coding RNA, 25 nt
Filed under: Rattus norvegicus (Norway rat)
Lineage: Eukaryota; Metazoa; Chordata; Mammalia; Rodentia; Muridae
Source: RNAcentral